AUGAACGCUGGCGGCGUGCCUAAUACAUGCAAGUCGAGCGAACGGACGAGAAGCUUGCUUCUCUGAUGUUAGCGGCGGACGGGUGAGUAACACGUGGAUAACCUACCUAUAAGACUGGGAUAACUUUGGGAAACCGGAGCUAAUACCGGAUAAUAUUUUGAACCGCAUGGUUCAAAAGUAAAAGACGGUCUUGCUGUCACUUAUAGAUGGAUCCGCGCUGCAUUAGCUAGUUGGUAAGGUAACGGCUUACCAAGGCAACGAUGCAUAGCCGACCUGAGAGGGUGAUCGGCCACACUGGAACUGAGACACGGUCCAGACUCCUACGGGAGGCAGCAGUAGGGAAUCUUCCGCAAUGGGCGAAAGCCUGACGGAGCAACGCCGCGUGAGUGAUGAAGGUCUUCGGAUCGUAAAACUCUGUUAUUAGGGAAGAACAUAUGUGUAAGUAACUGUGCACAUCUUGACGGUACCUAAUCAGAAAGCCACGGCUAACUACGUG
RNAcentral lists this ribosomal RNA (496 nucleotides) under uncultured bacterium. RNAcentral describes it as "partial 16S ribosomal RNA". It matches the Rfam family "Bacterial small subunit ribosomal RNA", at positions 29 to 507 of the family's 1533-position model. The record is from RNAcentral.